This 253-nucleotide ribosomal RNA is filed under the name uncultured bacterium. RNAcentral's name for it is "partial 16S ribosomal RNA". It matches the Rfam family "Bacterial small subunit ribosomal RNA", at positions 524 to 776 of the family's 1533-position model. The record is from RNAcentral.
GACGAACCGUGCGAACGUUGUUCGGAAUCACUGGGCUUAAAGGGCGCGUAGGCGGGCCGCCAGGUCGGGGGUGAAAUGCCGCAGCUUAACUGUGGAAGUGCCCCCGAUACCGGCGGCCUCGAGGGGGGUAGGGGCGUGUGGAACUUCCGGUGGAGCGGUGAAAUGCGUAGAUAUCGGAAGGAACGCCGGUGGCGAAAGCGACACGCUGGACCCUCACUGACGCUGAGGCGCGAAAGCCAGGGGAGCAAACGGG